Molecule: ribosomal RNA, 257 nt
Filed under: Corynebacterium diphtheriae bv. mitis
Lineage: Bacteria; Bacillati; Actinomycetota; Actinomycetes; Mycobacteriales; Corynebacteriaceae
Description: partial 23S ribosomal RNA
Rfam family: Bacterial large subunit ribosomal RNA
Source: RNAcentral
AAUGAUUCUGCUAGUAGUGGCGAACGAACGUGGAUGAGGCUAAACCGUAUGCGUGUGAUACCUGGCAGGGGUUGCGUGUGUGGUGUUGUGGGGCGUUGUUGGAGGAGGCUGCCGGCUCCUCGCUUGUUAUAUGUGUGUGUUAGCGGAAGUGGUUUGGAAUGGCCUGCCGUAGUGGGUGAGAGUCCCGUACGUGAAAACAUGUGCAUGCGAGUGGAUGAUGUUCCCGAGUAGCAGCGGGCUCGUGGAAUCUGCUGUGA